GGAAAGGCAGAUCAGAUUUACAGAGAGGAGACACAAAGAGAAAGAUCCCCCGUCCGCUGGUUUACUCCUCAAGCGGCUGCAAUGGCUGGAGCUGAUCUGAAGCCAGCAGCCAGGAGUUUUCUCCAGGUUUCCCACGCGUGUGCAUGGUCCCAAGGCUCUGGGCCUUCCUUCUCUGCUUUCCCAGGACACAAGCAGGGAGCUGGAUGGGAAGCUGCAGGCGGACUCCAACCACGCUCUCCGUUUCCGCGCGGCUCCGCUGUCCGAUUUCCUGGGACACGUGUGUCUCUAAUCCCCCCCACACGUCACGACCAACUGUCGUCCACCGCCCGAGACUCUCUUGCCGGACGAGGAGCUACUCAAUGGUCGGAAGAGCUUGGCCUCUCUAGCUCUUCCCCGGGGCUCGUCGAUGGUUUCCGGAGGCUUCACCGGAAACUGCGGAGAGAGGGGUCCAGGAGGCCGGAAGUGCGCCCUCACCCCUCGCCGUUUGAAAAUGCUGCCCAGGCCGUAGGGCCUACGGCGGCCACCUGACCCUCCGGCCGGCGGGGGAAGCGACUCAUGGAGCGGCCGUGAGGCUGCAAGUUCUUUACUGCCAAGAUGACAUCAUAUUCUACUUCUGCCCAGUGUUCCACUUCUGACAGUGCUUGCAGGAUCUCUGCAGAACGAAUCAAAAAGGUACGACCAAAACUGCCACUGUUGAAGAUCUUGCAGGCAGCUGGUGCACAAGGUGAAAUGUUCACUGUUAAAGAGGUCAUGCACUAUCUCGGCCAGUACAUAAUGGUGAAGCAGCUGUAUGACCAGAAGGAACAGCAUAUGGUACAUUGUGGUGGAGAUGUGUUGGGAGAGCUGCUGGGACGACAGAGCUUUUCUGUGAAAGAUCCAAGCCCUCUGUAUGACAUGCUAAGAAAAAAUCUUGUCACCUUAGCUACUGCUGCUACAGAUGCUGCUCAGACUCUCGCUCUCGCACAGGAUCACAGUAUGGAUAUUCCAAGUCAAGACCAACUGAAGCAAAGUGCAGAGGGGAGUUCCGGUUCCAGGAAAAGAGCCGAAGAACGUGAUAUUCCCACACUGCCUACCUCACAGCAUAAACGCAGAAACUCUCAAGAAGAUGAAGACUUGAUAGAAAAUUUAACCCAAGAUGAGACAUCUAGGCUGGACCUUGGGUUUGAGGAGUGGGAUGUAGCUGGCCUGCCUUGGUGGUUUUUAGGAAACUUGAGAAACAACUAUACACCUAGAAGUAAUGGCUCCACUGACUUACAGACAAAUCAGGAUAUAGGUACUGCCAUUGUUUCAGACACUACAGAUGACUUGUGGUUUUUGAAUGAAUCAGUGUCAGAUCAGUUGGGUGUUGGAAUAAAAGGUGAAGCGGUUCUUAUUGGACAAGCAAGUGAAGAAGUAGGGAAAGUGAGUGACAAAAAGAUGGUUGAAGUGGGGAAAACUGACGACCCUGAGGACUCUAAAUCCUUAAGUGAUGACACUGAUGUGGAAGUCACCUCUGAGGAUGAGUGGCAGUGUACAGAGUGCAAGAAAUUUAACUCUCCAAGCAAGAGGUACUGUUUUCGUUGCUGGGCCUUGAGGAAAGACUGGUAUUCAGAUUGUUCCAAGUUAAGCCAUUCCUUUUCCACCUCUGAUAUCACUGCCAUACCCGAAAGGAAGGAAAAUGAAGGAAUUGAUGUUCCCGACUGCCGAAGAACCAUUUCAGCUCCAGUUGUUAGACCUAAAGAUGUAUAUAAAAAGGAAGAAAGAUCCAAACUGUUUGACCCCUGCAACUCGGUGGAAUUCUUAGAUUUGGCUCAUAGUUCUGAAAGCCAAGAGACUGUCUCGAGCACGGGAGAACAAGCAGAUAACCUCUUUGAACAGAGGACAGAUACAGAAAAUAUGGAGGAUUGUCAGAGUAUCUUGAAGCCCUGUAGCUUAUGUGAGAAAAGACCACGAGAUGGGAACAUUAUUCAUGGGAGGACGAGCCAUCUUACCACUUGUUUUCAUUGUGCUAGAAGACUAAAGAAGGCCGGGGCUUUGUGCCCUACUUGUAAGAAGGAAAUUCAGUUGGUUAUUAAAGUUUUCAUAGCAUAGCUGAAUCAGGGAGUUGCAGAGAAAGAGCCAGAGAACCAAGUCAUACUGAAAACACCAGUGUUGAGCAUCUCUCCCCAGUCACCUGGCAUCUGCGCAGUGAUUCAUGUCAGCACCUGUGUUCCUGGACAUUUUUCUUCUAAACAUGUGUGGGACUUCAGAGUUCUUUAGAACUAGAUAAUCGACUUUGGGGGUUUCACUAACAGAUACCUAAGAUCCACUUAAGAUACCCACAGGAACAACUGUGGAAGUAGAUCAUCCUCAUUGCCAAUCCCCCUCAAAUGGAAAGUGAACAAAUGAAUGCAACUUCCUAUCCCUGAGCCCACCCUCUCUCCCUGCAGGCCUGUCUUGGG
Ochotona princeps (American pika) is the source of this 2420-nucleotide RNA transcript. It is a transcript of the gene named MDM4 regulator of p53, with no coding region annotated. The transcript is spliced from 12 exons. NCBI's taxonomy places the organism in Eukaryota, Metazoa, Chordata, Mammalia, Lagomorpha, Ochotonidae. The record is from RefSeq and is a predicted model, not a curated record.